This 218-nucleotide long non-coding RNA is filed under the name Trifolium pratense (red clover). RNAcentral's name for it is "long non-coding RNA (TPRA_LNC014158)". Lineage: Eukaryota; Viridiplantae; Streptophyta; Magnoliopsida; Fabales; Fabaceae. The record is from RNAcentral.
ACUUAUAUUGUGCUUGACUUCAAAUUCAAUAAUAGUGUAGGAGUUGUGAUUCAAUUCAAGGUUGAAAAUUGAGUAUUUUAUAGUAAGCUUGGCUCCAUUGCAGCUUAUAGCAGAUUGGUUGUGCUUCUCAAUUGAGGUUGUGAUCAUAUGGAUAAAUUUGUUGUAAAUGCGGCUGGAUAACCCUUGCAGAGCUACAUGUAUCAAAUGUGUUAUGGCUG